This 1969-nucleotide long non-coding RNA is filed under the name Marmota monax (woodchuck). Lineage: Eukaryota; Metazoa; Chordata; Mammalia; Rodentia; Sciuridae. The record is from RNAcentral.
CCAGAAAAUGACUUCAUGAGAUGAAAUCCCAGCCUGUCUCUGUGGACUGCAGUUCAGAACCCAUCUGGGAGGGGAGGUACCAAGCCCAAACGGCUUCUUCCACUGAUUAGUUCUUCAGGCCUUGGCUCCACUCACCCACAGCUCGACCAGACCUUGGCAACCUUCAGAAGGCUGGAGGGCUGGAUUGAGCCAGCCAGGAUCAAGCAAAUACCUGUGAAUCCUUGCUGCUGUUAUCAGAGCACCCCCUCUUCCCAGGUAAUGAAACUGAAGGCAAGAUGGACUAAGAUCCCUGCUUCCUAGUCCCAUACCCUUCCCUCUAGAAGGGAGUCCCCCCAGCUGUCUUUUUUUUUUUUUUAAUUUCAAGAAGCACAUAUCCUAAAGAAGCAUUAGGAUAAGUAUAGUAUGACUCCCAUAGGUUUUUUUUUUUUUAAGAGAGAGUGAGAGAGGGGAGAGAGAGAGAAUUUUAAUAUUUAUUUUUUAGUUAUCGGCGGAUACAACAUCUUUGUUUUGUAUGUGGUGCUGAGGAUCGAACCCGGGCCGCACGCAUGCCAGGCGAGCGCGCUACCGCUUGAGCCACAUCCCCAGCCCCCCCCCGCAGCUGUCUUGAAAGUAGAAAGAGGGGGUAGGGUGCCAUUUCGGAAUAGGAGACAGACGUCAAAUCUCUUCUCUGCCAACAAAUGGUGCAGAGCUAGAACUCCACCCAGUCUGCUUCAUUUUAUAGCCCAGAGAGCUGCAAAAAUAUGGCUGAGCCAGGAUUGCCACCUCAGUUUUCUAAUUAGUCCAGGCAAUCCUUCCUCUGCAUUGUGCAGCAUCAGAUCCUUAAAGAUUCUUGAGAUAAAGUGGCACUGCCCUUUAAGGUGAGGCAGAAAUGCAUACUGUUGAAAAGCAUGGGCCCAUAUGUCAGACCCUGGGGCAAGAACCUCAGCUUCACUAACCACCAUUAAGUGAUGGGUAAGCUUCUUAACUUCUUUGUGCCUCAGUUUCCUCAUCUGUAAAAUAGGGAUAAUCACAGUGCCAUCUCAGAAGCUUGUUACCAGAAUGUUAUUAAAAUGUGUAAAGCCCCUAGAACAGUGCCUAGCUCAUGGUGUGUAUUAUUGAUAUCACAAUAUCAAUAAUUGAGUCACUCUGGUCUUUUCCUCCUAUACAUGUACCUGGAAUCAUUUUAGGUAAAAGAGAGACUCCUCAUCCAUCCUCAUAGUCCCCUAUGCCAUGAAUUAUUUCUGGAGCAUCUGUGACAGUUUCUGAUUCUGUUCCCCUAUGAGCUACUGAACACCUGGACUCAUCCUGAAAAACAAAGGAGCCUUGUGGUGACCCUCAUGGUUUCCAUCACCUUCAUUCCUCCUCUGCCCAGUCCUCUGCCUUCCAGAAGGUUGAAUGCUGCUGAUUCCAGGUGUCCAGGCCCCAACCAAAUUUGCUGAAGCUUCCAGAGAAAUCACUGCUGAACUAAACUCCGCGUGCUAAAGUGGGAAAUAAUGUUUAUCUCCUCCUUGACCUUGGUAAAUAGAUCUGUGGGUCCUGGGGGAGUGGGAGGAGGCUUCCCUGGAACACAGUUGGCGCCAGCUCAUGCGAGGUCCAUAGGACAUUAAGAGGCUAAGCACCAGCCUCUGAGGUGGCUACUCUGACCUUUGAAUGUGGUGUUGGAGGGAUGGACACCGGUCUCUAAGCUGCUUCCUGCCCUGCUCCAUGGAAUUGUCUCUAAUGGGCGAAAUGUCUAACGCUAUGCCAUUGUCUUAGGUUUUCAAAUGAUCACUAUCGCUAUCAUUAACAGCAACAUUCACAGUCCCUGAUAAGGUACCCUCUCUGUUGCCCCGGGCCAGUCUAGGCUUUUAUCCAAAAACUGAGAUUCCCACAGAGCAUCUUCUGGGGACUCUUCCCUGCGGGACCUGGACGUGCAGUCCCGCAAUUUCGGCCCGCAGGACAGGUUAAAUUACGAGAGUGACUGUGGCAGGAAUGCGGCACGAAGGCACCU